This 1372-nucleotide ribosomal RNA is filed under the name uncultured bacterium. RNAcentral describes it as "bacterial SSU rRNA". It matches the Rfam family "Bacterial small subunit ribosomal RNA", at positions 28 to 1381 of the family's 1533-position model. The record is from RNAcentral.
GAUGAACGCUGGCGGCGUGCCUAAUACAUGCAAGUCGAGCGAACGGACGAGAAGCUUGCUUCUCUGAUGUUAGCGGCGGACGGGUGAGUAACACGUGGAUAACCUACCUAUAAGACUGGGAUAACUUCGGGAAACCGGAGCUAAUACCGGAUAAUAUUUUGAACCGCAUGGUUCAAAAGUGAAAGACGGUCUUGCUGUCACUUAUAGAUGGAUCCGCGCUGCAUUAGCUAGUUGGUAAGGUAACGGCUUACCAAGGCAACGAUGCAUAGCCGACCUGAGAGGGUGAUCGGCCACACUGGAACUGAGACACGGUCCAGACUCCUACGGGAGGCAGCAGUAGGGAAUCUUCCGCAAUGGGCGAAAGCCUGACGGAGCAACGCCGCGUGAGUGAUGAAGGUCUUCGGAUCGUAAAACUCUGUUAUUAGGGAAGAACAUAUGUGUAAGUAACUGUGCACAUCUUGACGGUACCUAAUCAGAAAGCCACGGCUAACUACGUGCCAGCAGCCGCGGUAAUACGUAGGUGGCAAGCGUUAUCCGGAAUUAUUGGGCGUAAAGCGCGCGUAGGCGGUUUUUUAAGUCUGAUGUGAAAGCCCACGGCUCAACCGUGGAGGGUCAUUGGAAACUGGAAAACUUGAGUGCAGAAGAGGAAAGUGGAAUUCCAUGUGUAGCGGUGAAAUGCGCAGAGAUAUGGAGGAACACCAGUGGCGAAGGCGACUUUCUGGUCCGUAACUGACGCUGAUGUGCGAAAGCGUGGGGAUCAAACAGGAUUAGAUACCCUGGUAGUCCACGCCGUAAACGAUGAGUGCUAAGUGUUAGGGGGUUUCCGCCCCUUAGUGCUGCAGCUAACGCAUUAAGCACUCCGCCUGGGGAGUACGACCGCAAGGUUGAAACUCAAAGGAAUUGACGGGGACCCGCACAAGCGGUGGAGCAUGUGGUUUAAUUCGAAGCAACGCGAAGAACCUUACCAAAUCUUGACAUCCUUUGACAACUCUAGAGAUAGAGCUUUCCCCUUCGGGGGACAAAGUGACAGGUGGUGCAUGGUUGUCGUCAGCUCGUGUCGUGAGAUGUUGGGUUAAGUCUCGCAACGAGCGCAACCCUUAAGCUUAGUUGCCAUCAUUAAGUUGGGCACUCUAAGUUGACUGCCGGUGACAAACCGGAGGAAGGUGGGGAUGACGUCAAAUCAUCAUGCCCCUUAUGAUUUGGGCUACACACGUGCUACAAUGGACAAUACAAAGGGCAGCGAAACCGUGAGGUCAAGCAAAUCCCAUAAAGUUGUUCUCAGUUCGGAUUGUAGUCUGCAACUCGACUACAUGAAGCUGGAAUCGCUAGUAAUCGUAGAUCAGCAUGCUACGGUGAAUACGUUCCCGGGUCU